CGACCCUGAGGGAGAAGCGGCUUAGAAGGUGUGUGUGUGUGUGUAUCCCUCACUGACUGAAUCCACAACUUAUUUUUUUAUUUUUACCCAGUUUUCUCCCCAAUUUAGUCGUCUCCAAUUCCUCCUGCUAGUUAGGACACAAUCACACCAUACUACCAACACUAGGAGGAUGAAAGCAAACACAGGCUUCCUCUGCAUCUUGUUGAACUGACGCUUAUGCAACAUCAUUAGACAGCCAAACGCGCUUGUAGGAAAGUGAUAACCUCCAGAUCUGUUGCAUCAGCUACAGGCAUCGUGUUGAGUGAUGCCCACCCAGAGAGAGCGAAGCCAACUGUGCUCUCUUGCACCCCGGACGGACAACGGUAGCAUCACCAGGGAUCAAACUCGCAGCCUCCUGAUGAUGAUAGGGUCAAUGCUUAUGUAACCAGUAGAGUUUGCUUGCUGGAAGUACCGUAUGGGCGUAGACGGCCACCGUAGUUUUUUUGCUUCUCAGGUGAAACGCAUUAUUUCCACUAGUAUAAAGGUAAGGCAGUGCACGUCAAGCCUGGGUUUCUCGUAGUUGCUGUGUCUGUGCUGUGGGGCUUUGCUGCUGGGAGGUGUCGCUUGGAGGGUUGCUAGGCUACGGGUACGCUCUGUACCCCUCCUCUUCUUUCUCUCUCUCAUUGCAGCCACGGGCUGUAUGAGCACCAGCAUAGAGUGUUUUGGGCAGACGAAUACAUUCCUGAAGAAUACGGGUGGGUUUGAGUCUGCAUGCCAGAAUACGGGUGUGUUUGAGCGUUGGCGUACCGGAAUACAGGUGGGUUUGUAAUUGGUCAUUUCGUGGUGUUUUAAGUCACGCUGUAACUAAUAUUUUGCACAAUAUACGUAUAUAUGUAGUGUGUUAAGUAUGGUAUUGUUUAAUUAGUUCCUGGUGAAGCCCUCUCUGCCCUAUACUGAUUUAGGUAAACAUACACCCGUAUGAGUGGUAACUUUUAUCUGAAGGUACGUGUUGAGUAGUUAUUAAUUUCUUUAUUAUUAGUGUUGAAAGUGAUUUAACUUAGCAUUUUACUAAUUGUUUUAAUUGACUAAUUUUGAUUAGGUUCUGGUGUGGAUGUCGCCCAAGUUGAAUCUAGGUGGCUUCUAGAGACCUAAAUUAAGGAGCCUUGGAGUGGCGCCACUGCUGUUUUGCCUAUGAUCCAAUUUUGUUGUUUUCUUUCUUUUGUUCUUUACUUUGUGGUCUUGUGUAGAAUAAAAUUGAUUUUUUUUUAGUAAAUAAAAUUGUUUCCUUUAUUUUUUUCUGUUGAUCCACUUUUAGUGGACCAACUGAAUUAUUGUUGGAUUUGUUGUGUCUUUGGUUUAUUGUAAUAGGUUGUUUUGUUUGUUUUUUUUCUCUUUUUUUUACUUUUCGAUAUAUUGGCUGCAGUUUCGAGGGUUGUUUAUAGCCCAGGUUGCUUUAUAGUGCUGUGAUGUUAACAGCUGUCUCUUGUUCCUUUUAGAGCGUACCUGUGUCUGCGGCAGUUCCGCAGUCGGUUACCUUCGGAAGGCUUCCUCUCUCCUUGGGCACACCUCUUUUCACACUUUGCAUGCUGUGGUAAUGUUAAUGUGUUGGUCACGUGCACUUUUCUCUUAAAGCCUGGUACUUGUGUGGUUGUGUGCUUGUGUGUGAUUUCAGGUUCCUAGAGGAGGGCGUGAGAAGGGUUGAAGCAGUGCCAGAUUCAACAACCUGGUGGUAUUAUCUCCUUGUUGGAGG
Long non-coding RNA from Pygocentrus nattereri (red-bellied piranha), 1729 nucleotides. RefSeq lists it as uncharacterized. The record is from RefSeq and is a predicted model, not a curated record. The transcript has 2 exons. NCBI's taxonomy places the organism in Eukaryota, Metazoa, Chordata, Actinopteri, Characiformes, Serrasalmidae.